Molecule: small nuclear RNA, 20 nt
Filed under: Arabidopsis thaliana (thale cress)
Lineage: Eukaryota; Viridiplantae; Streptophyta; Magnoliopsida; Brassicales; Brassicaceae
Description: snRNA_11326
Source: RNAcentral
CCCUGCAUAUAUAUGAUUGA